This 440-nucleotide ribosomal RNA is filed under the name uncultured bacterium. Its description in RNAcentral is "partial 16S ribosomal RNA". It matches the Rfam family "Bacterial small subunit ribosomal RNA", at positions 338 to 795 of the family's 1533-position model. The record is from RNAcentral.
CCUACGGGAGGCAGCAGUGGGGGAUAUUGCACAAUGGGGGAAACCCUGAUGCAGCGACGCCGCGUGUAGGAAGACGGUCCUCUGGAUUGUAAACUACUGUCCCCAGGGACGAAGAUGACGGUACCUGGGGAGGAAGCUCCGGCUAACUACGUGCCAGCAGCCGCGGUAAUACGUAGGGAGCGAGCGUUGUCCGGAAUUACUGGGUGAAAAGGGAGCGUAGGCGGGGAUGAAAGUGGGGUGUUAAAUCUACCGGCUAAACUGGUAGUCGCACUCAAAACUGCAGGUCUUGAGUGAAGUAGAGGCAGGCGGAAUUCCUAGUGUAGCGGUGAAAUGCGUAGAUAUUAGGAGGAACACCAGUGGCGAAGGCGGCCUGCUGGGCUUUUACUGACGCUGAGGCUCGAAAGUGUGGGGAGCAAACAGGAUUAGAUACCCGAGUAGUC